GAUGGGACUAUCGUAUGUACAGAUGUGUUCGUUCGUGUAACGUAGUGGUCUAUCAAUUUCGCGGGUCUGGACGUUUACGAGGAGAUCGUAAAGGCGACGUAAUAGGCGUACAUGGUCGUAUAGACUGUCGCCGGGUGGUCAGGAAAUUCGAUCGAGCGCGAAGGGUUUUACGUAAGUCUCGAGAUCCUUCGAUCGUCCUCUAUGUCGCAGUGUUCGUUGCAAAUGUUACGCAGUGAACAUAACCUCGAAAUACAUUCUUCGAUUUCCUGCUUUUCUUCUAAUGGCAAUUGAAAAUUCGUUACAAGAAUAUGGAAUAUGAAGAAAAUUUCAGCAACAGUUUCUAAAACGAUCUACGAAGAUUAUCAAAAGAUAUCACAAGAUCAAAGCAUAUGAUUUCGCGAAAAUUUGAGAUUCAUCAAAGCGUUUUAAAGUCCGGCCACCUGCGGAGCUUCAUCGCGAGCGUGGGCUGCUGAGUGCAAGAAGAAGGGGUGUCAAGGGUGAAGCUCUCGAGUAUGAGUAUACACGUCAACGCACAUGACAAACAUUUGAAGAUAAAAUUAUUCACAGAUCGUCAACGACUUAA
Long non-coding RNA from Apis laboriosa (Himalayan honeybee), 583 nucleotides. RefSeq lists it as uncharacterized. The record is from RefSeq and is a predicted model, not a curated record. NCBI's taxonomy places the organism in Eukaryota, Metazoa, Arthropoda, Insecta, Hymenoptera, Apidae. The transcript has 3 exons.